This 468-nucleotide ribosomal RNA is filed under the name uncultured bacterium. Its description in RNAcentral is "partial 16S ribosomal RNA". It matches the Rfam family "Bacterial small subunit ribosomal RNA", at positions 28 to 507 of the family's 1533-position model. The record is from RNAcentral.
GACGAACGCUGGCGGCGUGCUUAACACAUGCAAGUCGAACGGAAAGGCCCUGCUUUUGUGGGGUGCUCGAGUGGCGAACGGGUGAGUAACACGUGAGUAACCUGCCCUUGACUUUGGGAUAACUUCAGGAAACUGGGGCUAAUACCGGAUAGGAGCUCCUGCUGCAUGGUGGGGGUUGGAAAGUUUCGGCGGUUGGGGAUGGACUCGCGGCUUAUCAGCUUGUUGGUGGGGUAGUGGCUUACCAAGGCUUUGACGGGUAGCCGGCCUGGGAGGGUGAACGGGCACAAUGGGACUGAGAGACGGCGCAGACUGCUACGGGGGGCAGCAGUGGGGAAUAUUGCACAAUGAGCGGGAGCCUGAUGCAGAGACGCCGCGUGCGGGAUGACGGCCUUCGGGUUGUAAACCGCUUUCGCCUGAGACGAAGCGUGAGUGACGGUAAUGGGUAAAGAAGCACCGGCUAACUACGUG